Molecule: ribosomal RNA, 253 nt
Filed under: uncultured bacterium
Lineage: Bacteria
Description: partial 16S ribosomal RNA
Rfam family: Bacterial small subunit ribosomal RNA
Source: RNAcentral
UACGUAGGUGGCAAGCGUUGUCCGGAUUUAUUGGGUUUAAAGGGUGCGUAGGCGGCUUUGUAAGUCAGUGGUGAAAUACGGUAGCUUAACUAUCGAGGUGCCAUUGAUACUGCAGAGCUUGAGUACAGAUGAGGUAGGCGGAAUUGACGGUGUAGCGGUGAAAUGCUUAGAUAUCGAGAGGAACACCUGUGGCGAAGGCGGGUUGCUGGGCUGACACUGACGCUGAGGCGCGAAAGCUAGGGGAGCGAACGGG